Molecule: microRNA precursor, 120 nt
Filed under: Rattus norvegicus (Norway rat)
Lineage: Eukaryota; Metazoa; Chordata; Mammalia; Rodentia; Muridae
Description: microRNA rno-mir-1193 precursor
Rfam family: mir-1193 microRNA precursor family (bases 18-98)
Source: miRBase by way of RNAcentral
GGUGCUUACUGCUCUCAGGGUAGCUGUGAGGAUGGUAAACCGGUGACGUGCACUUCAUUUAUGCUGUAGGUCACCCGUUUUACUAUCCGCCAGCACCCAGACCGUCUGUGGGAUGAUACC